RNAcentral lists this ribosomal RNA (253 nucleotides) under uncultured bacterium. Its description in RNAcentral is "partial 16S ribosomal RNA". It matches the Rfam family "Bacterial small subunit ribosomal RNA", at positions 524 to 776 of the family's 1533-position model. The record is from RNAcentral.
UACGUAGGGUGCGAGCGUUGUCCGGAAUUAUUGGGCGUAAAGGGCUCGUAGGCGGUUUGUCGCGUCGGGAGUGAAAACCCAGGGCUUAACCCUGGGCUGGCUUCCGAUACGGGCAGACUAGAGGUAUGCAGGGGAGAACGGAAUUCCUGGUGUAGCGGUGAAAUGCGCAGAUAUCAGGAGGAACACCCGUAGCGAAGGCGGCACUCUGGGCCGAUUCUGACACUGAGGAGCGAAAGCGUGGGGAGCGAACAGG